RNAcentral lists this transfer RNA (76 nucleotides) under Candidatus Fervidibacter japonicus. RNAcentral describes it as "bacterium HR17 tRNA-Lys". It matches the Rfam family "tRNA". From Rfam's summary of the family: Transfer RNA (tRNA) molecules are approximately 80 nucleotides in length. Their secondary structure includes four short double-helical elements and three loops (D, anti-codon, and T loops). Lineage: Bacteria; Candidatus Fervidibacterota; Fervidibacteria; Fervidibacterales; Fervidibacteraceae. The record is from RNAcentral.
GCGCCAGUAGCUCAGUCGGCAGAGCACCGGACUUUUAAUCCGGGGGUCGCAGGUUCGAUUCCUGCCCGGCGCACCA